UUACGAAGGAGCCAUUCGUAUAGUUUGC
This 28-nucleotide small RNA is filed under the name Bombyx mori (domestic silkworm). RNAcentral's name for it is "ovarian small RNA-36501". Lineage: Eukaryota; Metazoa; Arthropoda; Insecta; Lepidoptera; Bombycidae. The record is from RNAcentral.